CACACCAAAAUGCUCCUUGGCUUCUUGUUGUCUGGAUAUGUUGCUUUCAGCUAUUAUUUCUAGGUCCUUCCACCGUUGAAUUGGUUGCUCAGGAUCACAAUGAAUGUUACUUUUAUGAAAGUAAUUCAACAGCCAGUAGUAUACUUCCAAAUAUAUAAAUAUUAUCGUCUUGAUAUGUUAUUGGCCUCAAUAGAUAUUGGAUAUGAAUUUUGAAUAUCAGUAUAAAAAUAUGUACUUCAACUUGAAUAUAUAAGUAAUAUAUCAUAAUGUAUCCUUUUCAAAUGUGA
Molecule: long non-coding RNA, 287 nt
Organism: Coccinella septempunctata (seven-spotted ladybird)
Lineage: Eukaryota; Metazoa; Arthropoda; Insecta; Coleoptera; Coccinellidae
Exons: 2
Source: RefSeq, a predicted model, not a curated record